GCAUGGCUUCGCCGGCGCGUCUCCGAUGGUCCAAAGUUUGUCUUUCCUUCCUUCUUUGGCCGAGAUCCGUUGCCCCUACACCUCACCUUCUCUUCAUAUCCUCUGCUGGAGAUGCAGUUGGGGCACGCCAUGGGAGUUCCCCAUCCACCACGGUCGCCGCCGUCAAGGAAUUCUUCAAGGAGAUGUCAAGGACACCAUGGACAUGCAGCUCCUCAAGGUUUUAUCCCUCCUUUCCUCUGAUAUAUAUCAAGUUCUAACAGUACAUUAAUCCAAGCAAUUGUUUUCAGAUCAAUUAAGGAAUCAAUCUCAUGAUGGUUGAUGCUUGAUGCAGCGGAGGAUCACAGAUUCACAGAUGUAAGGAUCGGGAGAAUUGGGCCUCACAUUAUUUUUUCCAGAAUUGGGUGUUGGUACUCUAUAAACUGAAUUGAGUGAGCUAAAUCUGUGCCUCAAAAUUGUAGUCUGUAGCUUUAUGUGUUACGUCUUAAGAUUGAACUAGAAGAUUGCCUUUGGGAGUAGUUUUAGUUGGUAGAUGUUUCAGGCUCCAAAUACACACACAUUAUGUGCUUAAUGUGUGGCAUAAACAUUAUCAAUUUUAUGCUUAGAAACCAAAUCACUGUCCACCCAUUUUAUUUCUUCAUGAGUAUUUUGUGUUGAAAUCAGAUCACCGUUCACCUGUUCUCGUACUGUUGUCUUUAACUUAUUUUGCGGAUUCUUAAUAAAAUGCUCAGUUCAGGAUGUGAUUUUCAGUUUUAGGCAUUUGAU
RNAcentral lists this long non-coding RNA (762 nucleotides) under Triticum aestivum (bread wheat). Its description in RNAcentral is "long non-coding RNA (TAES_LNC020759)". The record is from RNAcentral. Lineage: Eukaryota; Viridiplantae; Streptophyta; Magnoliopsida; Poales; Poaceae.